This 1084-nucleotide ribosomal RNA is filed under the name Colibrilepis pusilla. RNAcentral's name for it is "eukaryotic LSU rRNA". It matches the Rfam family "Eukaryotic large subunit ribosomal RNA", at positions 58 to 630 of the family's 3401-position model. The record is from RNAcentral. Lineage: Eukaryota; Metazoa; Platyhelminthes; Cestoda; Cyclophyllidea; Hymenolepididae.
AGAAAGACUAACCAGGAUUCCCUUGGUAACGGCGAGUGAAGAGGGAAGAGCCCAGCACCGAAGCCUGCGGCAGUUUUGCUGUUAGGCCAUGUGGUGUGUGGGUCGGCUCGCGGGACCAUCACUCCACUCGAAGUCCAGCAUUGAGUAUGGCCAUAACUGGAUUUGGCCCAUAGAGGGUGAGAGGCCCGUACGGGUGGAGGCUCAGACAUGUACGAUGGUUCACCAGGCCGGCCUCCGAGUCGGGUUGUUUGAGAUUGCAGCCCAAAGAGGGUGGUAAACUCCAUCCAAGGCUAAAUACUGCCACGAGUCCGAUAGCGAACAAGUACCAUGAGGGAAAGUUGAAAAGUACUCUGAAGAGAGAGUAAACAGUACGUGAAGCCGCAUGCAGGUAAACGGGUGGCGUCAAGCUGCGAGCCCGGGGGAUUCAGCUGACUGGGAUGUAGUGUACGCGCGCCUGGUGCGUCGAGAGGUCGGAGUAAGAUGUGGUGGUGCACUCCUCUGCUGGGAGUGGGGUGCGAUCGGUGUGCGCUUGCGUAUACUGGUUGUCGCUAUGCAUGCCGGGUGGGUGCCGGAGCAUGCCGCUCAUCUGUUGGACCACCUAGUCAGUGCAUUUUCUCCGUGGUGAACACCACGACCGGUGGAACUGCCAGUCUGCUGUGAUCAAGUCGUGUUCUCCUGGCGCGUUACUGUGUUAGGUGGGCACGAUCGCAGGCGGAGUCGGUGGACGGCGCAGUGGUGCUUCGGUACUGCCGCGUGUUAUCGUGUGCUCUCUGUCGUAAGCGAUUAGUGGGGUAGACUAAGUGCUGUGACUACUUCCCUACUAGUUGGCGGAUCACAGUGGCGAAAGGGACUGUGCAGGGCACCGGAGUUGUCCACCUCAUUCAAUAUGGUACUCGGCACGCACGUUACAGGUGCUUUAUAAUCGGGAUGUGCCGCUGUCUGCCUGGUAUUGGGCCUGACUGUCGUGUUGCCUGCGCAAAGUGGGUCCGGCAGUGGUUUCGAUGCUUGGUAGUCGCAGUGUGUUGCAUAUCUCGGGUGUCUGUGGUACCGGGGGUGAAAUAGUCAGUGGUGCUGUGUAGACGAG